GGGACAAUACCCCCUAUGAUGACGGUACCGUUUGUAAGCUCCGGCUAACUCCGUGCCAGCAGCCGCGGUAAUACGGGGGGAGCAAGCGUUGUUCGGAUUUACUGGGCGUAAAGGGCGCGUAGGCGGCCANCACAAGUCAGUUGUGAAAUCUCCGNGCUUAACUCGGAAAGGUCAACUGAUACUGUGCGGCUAGAGUGCNGAAGGGGCAACUGGAAUUCUUGGUGUAGCGGUGAAAUGCGUAGAUAUCNAGAGGAACACCUGCGGCGAAGGCGGGUUGCUGGGCUGACACUGACGCUGAGGCGCGAAAGCUAGGGGAGCGAACGGGAUUAGAUACCCCGGUAGUCCUNGCCUUAAACGAUGAAUGCUUGGUGUCUGGGGUUAUAUAGUCCCCGGGUGCCGNCGCUAACGCUUUAAGCAUUCCGCCUGGGGAGUACGGUCGCAAGACUGAAACUCAAAGG
RNAcentral lists this ribosomal RNA (458 nucleotides) under uncultured bacterium. Its description in RNAcentral is "bacterial SSU rRNA". It matches the Rfam family "Bacterial small subunit ribosomal RNA", at positions 447 to 907 of the family's 1533-position model. The record is from RNAcentral.